RNAcentral lists this ribosomal RNA (441 nucleotides) under uncultured bacterium. RNAcentral describes it as "bacterial SSU rRNA". It matches the Rfam family "Bacterial small subunit ribosomal RNA", at positions 59 to 518 of the family's 1533-position model. The record is from RNAcentral.
AAGUCGAGCGGAAAGGCCCUCGGGGUACUCGAGCGGCGAACGGGUGAGUAACACGUGAGCAACCUGCCCCAGGCUUUGGGAUAACCCCGGGAAACCGGGGCUAAUACCGAAUAUGACCUUGCACCGCAUGGUGUUUGGUGGAAAGUUUUUCGGCUUGGGAUGGGCUCGCGGCCUAUCAGCUUGUUGGUGGGGUGAUGGCCUACCAAGGCGACGACGGGUAGCCGGCCUGAGAGGGCGACCGGCCACACUGGGACUGAGACACGGCCCAGACUCCUACGGGAGGCAGCAGUGGGGAAUAUUGCACAAUGGGCGGAAGCCUGAUGCAGCCGACGCCGCGUGAGGGAUGACGGCCUUCGGGUUGUAAACCUCUUUCAGCAGGGACGAAGCGUAAGUGACGGUACCUGCAGAAGAAGCGCCGGCCAACUACGUGCCAGCAGCCGC